AACGAACGCUGGCGGCAUGCCUAACACAUGCAAGUCGAACGAGACCUUCGGGUCUAGUGGCGCACUGGUGCGUAACGCGUGGGAACCUACCCUUAGGUUCGGAAUAACUCCCCGAAAGGGGUUCUAAUACCGGAUAAUGUCUUCGGACCAAAGAUUUAUCGCCUUUGGAUGGGCCCGCGUUGGAUUAGCUAGUUGGUAGGGUAAAAGCCUACCAAGGCGACGAUCCAUAGCUGGUCUGAGAGGAUGAUCAGCCACACUGUGACUGAGACACGGCCCAGACUACUACGGGAGGCAGCAGUGGGGAAUAUUGGACAAUGGGCGAAAGGCUGAUCCAGCAAUGCCGCGUGAGUGAUGAAGGCCUUAGGGUUGUAAAGAUCUUUUACCCGGGAUGAUAAUGACAGUACCGGGAGAAUAAGCUCCGGCUAACUCCGUG
RNAcentral lists this ribosomal RNA (433 nucleotides) under uncultured bacterium. RNAcentral describes it as "partial 16S ribosomal RNA". It matches the Rfam family "Bacterial small subunit ribosomal RNA", at positions 29 to 507 of the family's 1533-position model. The record is from RNAcentral.